GAUGAAGAACGCAGCGAAAUGCGAUACGUAAUGUGAAUUGCAGAAUUCAGUGAAUCAUCGAAUCUUUGAACGCAUAUUGCGCUCUCUGGUAUUCCGGAGAGCAUGCUUGUUUGAGUAUCAGUAAACACCUCAACUUCCAUAUCUUUUUUGAAAUGGGAGUUGGACUUGAGUGAUCCCAACGCUUUUCCUCACCGAAAAGUGGCGGGUUACUUGAAAUGCAGGUGCAGCCGGACUUUUCUCUGAGCUAUAAGCAUAUCUAUUUAGUCUGCCUAAAAAACAGAUUAUUACCUUUGCUGCAGCUAACAUAAAGGAGAUUAGUUCUUGUGCUGACUGAUGCAGGAUUCACAAAGACAGGCUUCGGCCGACUUUGUAAACUCGAUCUCAAAUCAAGUAAGACUACCCGCUGAACUUAAGCAUAUCAAUAAGCGGAGGA
RNAcentral lists this unclassified non-coding RNA (433 nucleotides) under soil metagenome. RNAcentral describes it as "partial contains 5.8S ribosomal RNA, internal transcribed spacer 2, and large subunit ribosomal RNA". The stretch from base 1 to 120 matches the Rfam family "5.8S ribosomal RNA", at positions 35 to 154 of the family's 154-position model. The record is from RNAcentral.